RNAcentral lists this long non-coding RNA (481 nucleotides) under Manihot esculenta (cassava). RNAcentral's name for it is "long non-coding RNA (MESC_LNC008849)". Lineage: Eukaryota; Viridiplantae; Streptophyta; Magnoliopsida; Malpighiales; Euphorbiaceae. The record is from RNAcentral.
GUCUUCUACCUCCCUGAGGUCUCUAUGUCUCAGUGAGGUCUUCUACCUCCCUGAGGUCUCUAUGUCUCAGUGAGGUCUUCUGAUGCCAGGAGAUCUUGGGAAUCCUGGUCUUUUACCUCCCUGAGGUCUCUAUGUCUCAGUGAGGUCUUCUACCUCCCUGAGGUCUCUAUGUCUCAGUGAGGUCUUCUGAUGCCAGGAGAUCUUGGAAAUCCUGGUCUUUUACUUCCCUGAGAUCUCUAUGUCUCAGUGAGGUGUUCUGGGAUCUGUUCUUUCUUUUUCAAAGAAAAUUAAUACUCACAGUAAUAAAGAUAACAUUGCUUUGCAAAAAUGGUGUUAUUUUAUUCUUUCAUGUUUUCAGAGCACAAGAAUUUUCUUUACAAAUGUUGUUAGGGAAGUACCUCUUUAGGUGCUGGAUAUUCCAGGCGCGAGGCUCAGGGUUUCCCUGCACGUUUUCGAUCUGAUAGACUCCCAGUCCGACCAC